AACGAACGCUGGCGGCAUGCCUAACACAUGCAAGUCGAACGAGACCUUCGGGUCUAGUGGCGCACGGGUGCGUAACGCGUGGGAAUUUGCCUCGGGGUACGGAAUAACUCAGGGAAACUUGAGCUAAUACCGUAUGAUGUCUUCGGACCAAAGAUUUAUCGCCCUGAGAUAAGCCCGCGUAGGAUUAGCUAGUUGGUGAGGUAAGAGCUCACCAAGGCGACGAUCCUUAGCUGGUCUGAGAGGAUGAUCAGCCACACUGGGACUGAGACACGGCCCAGACUCCUACGGGAGGCAGCAGUGGGAAUAUUGGACAAUGGGCGAAAGCCUGAUCCAGCAAUGCCGCGUGAGUGAUGAAGGCCUUCGGUUGUAAAGCUCUUUGCCGGGACGGACUAAUAGACGGUACCGAGAGAAUAAG
RNAcentral lists this ribosomal RNA (415 nucleotides) under uncultured bacterium. RNAcentral describes it as "bacterial SSU rRNA". It matches the Rfam family "Bacterial small subunit ribosomal RNA", at positions 29 to 490 of the family's 1533-position model. The record is from RNAcentral.